This 439-nucleotide ribosomal RNA is filed under the name uncultured bacterium. RNAcentral's name for it is "bacterial SSU rRNA". It matches the Rfam family "Bacterial small subunit ribosomal RNA", at positions 958 to 1398 of the family's 1533-position model. The record is from RNAcentral.
AACGCGAAGAACCUUACCUGGGCUUGACAUGUGAGUGACGAUCGUGGAAACACGGUUUCUCUUCGGAGCACUUUCACAGGUGGUGCAUGGCUGUCGUCAGCUCGUGUCGUGAGAUGUUGGGUUAAGUCCCGCAACGAGCGCAACCCCCGUCGUAUGUUGCCAGCAUUCAGUUGGGGACUCAUACGAGACUGCCGGUGACAAACCGGAGGAAGGUGGGGAUGACGUCAAGUCCUCAUGCCCCUUAUGUCCAGGGCUACACACGUGCUACAUUGGCGCGUACAGAGGGUUGCGAUACCGCGAGGUGGAGCGAAUCCCUUAAAGCGCGUCUCGGUUCGGAUUGCAGGCUGAAACUCGCCUGCAUGAAGGCGGAGUUGCUAGUAAUCGCGGAUCAGCAUUGCCGCGGUGAAUACGUUCCCGGGCCUUGUACACACCGCUCGUC